RNAcentral lists this ribosomal RNA (484 nucleotides) under uncultured bacterium. RNAcentral's name for it is "partial 16S ribosomal RNA". It matches the Rfam family "Bacterial small subunit ribosomal RNA", at positions 30 to 507 of the family's 1533-position model. The record is from RNAcentral.
AUUGAACGCUGGCGGCAGGCCUAACACAUGCAAGUCGAGCGGAUGAAGGGAGCUUGCUCCUGGAUUCAGCGGCGGACGGGUGAGUAAUGCCUAGGAAUCUGCCUGGUAGUGGGGGAUAACGUCCGGAAACGGGCGCUAAUACCGCAUACGUCCUGAGGGAGAAAGUGGGGGAUCUUCGGACCUCACGCUAUCAGAUGAGCCUAGGUCGGAUUAGCUAGUUGGUGGGGUAAAGGCCUACCAAGACGACGAUCCGUAACUGGACUGAGAGGAUGAUCAGUCACACUGGAACUGAGACACGGUCCAGAGUCAUACGGGAGGCAGCAGUGGGGAAUAUUGGACAAUGGGCGAAAGCCUGAUCCAGCCACGCCGCGUGUGUGAAGAAGGUCUUCGGAUUGUAAAGCACUUUAAGUUGGGAGGAAGGGCAGUAAGUUAAUACCUUGCUGUUUUGACGUUACCAACAGAAUAAGCACAGGCUAACUUCGUG